GGGGACUUAGUUCAAUGGCUAGAAUAACGGUCUCCAAAACCGUUGAUGGGGGUUCGACUCCCUCAGUCCCCG
This 72-nucleotide transfer RNA is filed under the name Patescibacteria group bacterium. RNAcentral describes it as "tRNA-Trp". It matches the Rfam family "tRNA". From Rfam's summary of the family: Transfer RNA (tRNA) molecules are approximately 80 nucleotides in length. The record is from RNAcentral.